AGAGUUUGAUCAUGGCUCAGAUUGAACGCUGGCGGAAUGCUUUACACAUGCAAGUCGAACGGCAGCACGGGGCAACCUGGUGGCGAGUGGCGAACGGGUGAGUAAUACAUCGGAACGUGCCCAAUCGUGGGGAUAACGUAGCGAAAGUUACGCUAAUACCGCAUACGAUCUACGGAUGAAAGCGGGGGAUCGCAAGACCUCGCGCGAAUGGAGCGGCCGAUGUCAGAUUAGGUAGUUGGUGGGGUAAAGGCUCACCAAGCCAACGAUCUGUAGCUGGUCUGAGAGGACGACCAGCCACACUGGAACUGAGACACGGUCCAGACUCCUACGGGAGGCAGCAGUGGGGAAUUUUGGACAAUGGGCGCAAGCCUGAUCCAGCCAUUCCGCGUGCAGGAUGAAGGCCUUUGGGUUGUAAACUGCUUUUGUACGGAACGAAAAGGUCCUGGUUAAUACCUGGGGCUCAUGACGGUACCGUAAGAAUAAGCACCGGCUAACUACGUG
RNAcentral lists this ribosomal RNA (501 nucleotides) under uncultured bacterium. RNAcentral describes it as "bacterial SSU rRNA". It matches the Rfam family "Bacterial small subunit ribosomal RNA", at positions 8 to 507 of the family's 1533-position model. The record is from RNAcentral.